AGGCAGGGUAGGGGCUCUUUCGCCCCGCCUCCUUAUGAUGCCCUUUUCGUGGGAGCCAAUGGAAACUCAAAGUUGAGUUGCGUCACUUGUGCUAGCAUCUCCUGGCAAGAUUCUUUCUGAACCGCUAGCUCGUCUGUCCAGGGUCUUGGAGCCACCCCUAGUGAUAGGAGGGCAGCUAUUGGUGGACGCAGGUGGCGAGGCGCUUGGAGCUCCUGGCUCAGUAUGCGGCGCAGUGAUGGCCUUUUGCGCCGGGCUCUGGGUCUCCAACCCGAGGUCGGCGCACGGUCUGGGGGCCGACUGUGAAGAAUCUCAGCUGCGGACUUGCUGUCAGAAUACGCGGGUCUAGGUACCACCUACCCAGGCUCGGAGGCCCCAUAUCUGGGUCAUGCAAAAUCAGCGUGAUAAUAGCUACUUCAGGAAGCUGUUAAGAUCAAAGAAGAUCAUUAGCUGUGCUCGCCCCUUCUUCCUGGAUUACAGUAGCCCUUCCCUCUAUGUUUCAUUCUUGAAAAUAAUAGUUUACAUGUAUAAUCUCCUCAUCCUUUUGUGAGCUUGCAAAUCUAUCCCUACUUCCUAUUGCCUACAGGAAAUUGUAGAUUCACAGUAUAUGUUGAAUGAGUGUUCUCUGUAUCAUAAUUAAAUAAAAUGUUAAGAAUUGGAGUCCAGUUUUCUAUCAGCCCUACAAUAAUUAAACUUAUCCAGAAAUGUAAAA
Molecule: long non-coding RNA, 709 nt
Organism: Manis javanica (Malayan pangolin)
Lineage: Eukaryota; Metazoa; Chordata; Mammalia; Pholidota; Manidae
Source: RefSeq, a predicted model, not a curated record